This 266-nucleotide ribosomal RNA is filed under the name uncultured bacterium. Its description in RNAcentral is "partial 16S ribosomal RNA". It matches the Rfam family "Bacterial small subunit ribosomal RNA", at positions 57 to 305 of the family's 1533-position model. The record is from RNAcentral.
GCAAGUCGAACGAGAAAGCUCCCUUCGGGGGGUGAGUAAAGUGGCAGACGGGUGAGUAACACGUGGGUAACCUGCCCGCGGGUGGGGGAUACCCCUCCGAAAGGAGGGCUAGUACCGCAUAACAUCCCGAGCUCUUCGGGGCCCGCGAUCAAAGCUUGCCUCUUCUGGAAAGCAAGCACCUGUGGAGGGGCCCGCGCCCCAUUAGCUUGUUGGUGAGGUAACGGCUCACCAAGGCCGCGAUGGGUAGCCGGCCUGAGAGGGUGAUC